UGUUUCUUUUUAGAAAUUGUUUCAUUAAUUUACAAGUUUCCUGUUUCGAUAGCAGCCGAUAGUGUAAACCCUAAUUUUGAAUACCGGGUAAAAACGAUAUUCCUUUUAGGGUUUAAGGAAUAAAAAAGGGUUUAAGAUUUUUGUUAAGAUUUCGUUUGAUUUAAACUGUACUUUAUUGGCUUUGUUCUAAUCUUUUUUUUUUUGGUUUGAUUUCGCAGGAACGAUUUUUACUAUUGGUAUUUUCUUUGCUCUCGAUAAACAACGAAAUGCCGUAUAUGUUGAAAAUUUUAGGAGACAAAUGGUUGGAGACUUUCUCCCGGAGCAUAUCUAAAGCAAUUAUUUUUAGAGUACUUAUCAGGUUUGGUUCCUUCAAGCAAUACUAUUUGUUAGCAGGUUUUGAUAGCCAUGCAAGCCAUAGAGUACGUACCAGGUUUCUUUCCAUAGACUAUACUGUUGUUCAUUUGAGGCAUGGACCCACGGUGACUAACCCAAGUUGUUGUGUCAUGUGUGACACCAUUUGCAAGUUAGAAGAGGUUCCCGUGCAAGCCGUAUACAGUACUUAUCAGGACAUACGUACUCAAUAAAAGGCCAUGAUGCAAAGCCAUCUUGAAAGGAGAAGACUUGAGCUGAAGUGACCGAGUUUGUUGUUGUUGUCGUCCAGCAAGUAAGCAAAGGAAGACCGAGUUGUGCCUUUCCGUAUUUGACAGUGAAGUAUACCGUAUACCACUUCUGUUCAUGGAUGGUUGUACUUCUCCGGUAUGUUAACCGUAUGCCACAACAUCCACGGAAGUUGCAUGUUAACCGUUUGAGCAUAUAUAUACAUUCAUAAAUUGCUUGAGAUGUUUGCUUCAUCCAUGGCAUGAUAGUUUGCGUUGAAUUGGCUGCAUGAGAGAAAGAAAUGGAUGUAACCUUGACUGUCUUAAUUAAUUGAGGUACUGGAAUGUUUGUUUGUCCACGUAAUAUAUCCUUCUCUGUUUGUUGCUUUUUAAAUAUCCUUCUCUAUUUGUUGUUUGCAUGCUUCUGCUUGAGCAUUUACAUUUAUGGAAGGAAUACCAAUUGGGUACGUCCAUUUCUUAUUAGUCAUGAAGCAAGUCUUGAUAUACAAGGGACGGAGGAUCAUCAUGAGGACGAUGAGAGAGGAAGGAGAAACGGAUUAUGUUGCAGUUUAUAUAAACUUUCAUAUGCUGGAGCAUUCCGACAGGGGGAGA
Long non-coding RNA from Papaver somniferum (opium poppy), 1208 nucleotides. RefSeq lists it as uncharacterized. NCBI's taxonomy places the organism in Eukaryota, Viridiplantae, Streptophyta, Magnoliopsida, Ranunculales, Papaveraceae. The record is from RefSeq and is a predicted model, not a curated record. The transcript has 5 exons.